UUUGACAUAUAGGUUGUAGGGAACUGAGAAGGGACCGACCCUUCGGGAGCCUAUACAGGUGUUGCAUGGCUGUCGUCAGCUCGUGUCGUGAGAUGUUCGGUUAAGUCCGCUAACGAGCGCAACCCUCGUCGUAUGUUAUAUGUGUCAUACGAGACUGCCGGUAAAAGCCGGAGGAAGGUGAGGAUGAUGUCAAGUCAGCAUGACCUUUAUAUCCAGGGCUACACACACGCUACAAUGGUCUGUACAAUGGGUAGCCAAGCCGCGAGGCGGAGCCAAUCCUGAAAGCAGGCCUCAGUUCAGAUUGCAGUCUGCAACUCGACUGCAUGAGGCCGGAGUUGCUAGUAACCGCAGGUCAGCAAUACUGCGGUGAAUACGUUCCCGGGUCUU
Molecule: ribosomal RNA, 387 nt
Filed under: uncultured Anaerolineaceae bacterium
Lineage: Bacteria; Bacillati; Chloroflexota; Anaerolineae; Anaerolineales; Anaerolineaceae
Description: bacterial SSU rRNA
Rfam family: Bacterial small subunit ribosomal RNA
Source: RNAcentral